GACGUAGGGCGCGAGCGUUGUCCGGAUUUAUUGGGCGUAAAGAGCUCGUAGGCGGCUUGUUGCGUCAGCUGUGAAAACCCGCAGCUCAACUGUGGGCUUGCAGCUGAUACGGGCAGGCUUGAGUUCGGUAGGGGAGACUGGAAUUCCUGGUGUAGCGGUGAAAUGCGCAGAUAUCAGCAGGAACACCCGUGGCGAAAGCGGCGCGCUGGACCACUACUGACGCUGAGGAACGAAAGCUAGGGGAGCAAACAGG
RNAcentral lists this ribosomal RNA (253 nucleotides) under uncultured bacterium. RNAcentral describes it as "partial 16S ribosomal RNA". It matches the Rfam family "Bacterial small subunit ribosomal RNA", at positions 524 to 776 of the family's 1533-position model. The record is from RNAcentral.